CGCUUGACAUGCUAGGAACCUCGCAGAGAUGUGAGGGUGCUCGAAAGAGAGCCUAGACACAGGUGCUGCAUGGCUGUCGUCAGCUCGUGUCGUGAGAUGUUGGGUUAAGUCCCGCAACGAGCGCAACCCUUGUCCUUAGUUGCUACGAAAGGGCACUCUAAGGAGACUGCCGGUGACAAACCGGAGGAAGGUGGGGAUGACGUCAAGUCCUCAUGGCCCUUAUGCGUAGGGCUUCACACGUCAUACAAUGGUCGGUACAGAGGGUCGCCAACCCGCGAGGGGGAGCCAAUCCCAGAAAACCGAUCGUAGUCCGGAUUGCACUCUGCAACUCGAGUGCAUGAAGUCGGAAUCGCUAGUAAUCGCGGAUCAGCAUGUCGCGGUGAAUACGUUCCCGGGUCUCGUACACACCGCCCGUCACACCAUGGGAGUGGGUUUUACCAGAAGUAGGUAGCUUAACCGCAAGGAGGGCGCUUACCACGGUAGGGCUCAUGACUGGGGUGAAGUCGUAACAAGGUAAGCGUAGUGCU
This 527-nucleotide ribosomal RNA is filed under the name uncultured bacterium. Its description in RNAcentral is "bacterial SSU rRNA". It matches the Rfam family "Bacterial small subunit ribosomal RNA", at positions 978 to 1509 of the family's 1533-position model. The record is from RNAcentral.